This 893-nucleotide non-coding RNA is filed under the name Sinaechinocyamus mai. Lineage: Eukaryota; Metazoa; Echinodermata; Echinoidea; Clypeasteroida; Taiwanasteridae. The record is from RNAcentral.
AGCCGAUUUGGUCCUAGUCCCCUUAUUAGCUAUUUUGAAGUUGCCACAUGCAAGCCAUUAAGCUCCCCAGUGAAGUUAUCGCCUAUCUUUUCCCCACUAAAAGAUCGGAAAAGAUGGGCUAUGGUAUCAGGAACACAAGCAUACCGCCCAAGACACCAAGCAAAACGCCACAACUGCAGUGCUAAAAAUUUGACAAUCGGAAGCCCCCGGAUCUAGUUAAGAAAUAAUUAAGGAGGUAAAGUACGUGCCAGCCACCGCGGUUAUACGUACCUUCCUAGAGCUAAUUACUAUUCGGUUCAAAGGAUGGUUAAAGUGCGUCUAAUUAAGCAUAGCCCUAAGAUAGUGGUAGAAAACUUACCUUAGAAGAAAACCCCAGCUUAAUCUAAAACUUGAUGCCAUGAAAACUGAGACCUAAACCAGGAUUAGAUACCCUGCUAUACUCAGAAGUAAACAACCUCAUCACCAGAGAACUACAAACAACAAAGUUUAAAACUCAAAGGACUUGGCGGUUUUUCAAAUCUCCCUGGAGGAGCUUGCCAUCUAACCGAUAAUCCACGUUAUACCUUACCAACUUUAGAAUUAACAGCUUGUAUACCAUCGCCGUAAGUCUACUCCCCCAGGAAGUUGACAGAAAGAAAUACCUUCUAGACGUCAGAUCGAGGUGCAGCUUAUAUGUUGGGGAUAGGUGAGCUACAAUGUUCAACAUUAGACCAGUGAAAAUAGGAAUGAAACUUCCUUUAAAAAUUGGAUUCAGCAGUAAGCCUCAGAAGAAAAUGGGACUGAAAAGAGCUCUGAAAUGCGUACACAUCGCCCGUCACUCUCACCUAGCCUCAAUAGCAAGAUGAGAAAAGUCGUAACAUAGUAGGCGUAUCGGAAGAUGCGCCUGGAAAAUU